AACGCAAAUUGCGCUCGAGGCCUCGGCCAAGAGCACGUCUGGCUCAGCGUCGGCUUACUACCCUCAACCAAUUCCAGUAUGGCAAUUGAUUGGAGCUGGCUUUCCGGUGUUCCGAUUAGGUUGCCGGUCAGCUCAAAAAUAUUCGCGCUGUGGGAGCUGCUUUCCCUUCAAAAAGGAAAGCCGAGUUCCGAUUUGGUAGGUGACCUUUGCCGGUUGCAUGCCUUCGUUGCUCGCAAUGGCUUCCAUGAAAGCGUGUGCAGGACGCCUUUUUGGCUUUCGACCUGAGCUCAGGCAAGAACACCCGCUGAACUUAA
This 314-nucleotide unclassified non-coding RNA is filed under the name Dikarya sp. Its description in RNAcentral is "partial contains 5.8S ribosomal RNA, internal transcribed spacer 2, and large subunit ribosomal RNA". Lineage: Eukaryota; Fungi. The record is from RNAcentral.